RNAcentral lists this ribosomal RNA (364 nucleotides) under Derectaotus sp. Com. Its description in RNAcentral is "eukaryotic LSU rRNA". It matches the Rfam family "Eukaryotic large subunit ribosomal RNA", at positions 46 to 393 of the family's 3401-position model. Lineage: Eukaryota; Metazoa; Arthropoda; Insecta; Orthoptera; Mogoplistidae. The record is from RNAcentral.
AUAAGCGGAGGAAAAGAAACUAACGAGGAUUCCCUUAGUAGCUGCGAGCGAAGAGGGAGGAGCCCAGCGCCGAACCUCGCGGUCCGAGCGGCCGUGCGGAAUGUGGCGUUAGGGAGCGUCCGAUCAUCUCUGCGUUUCCCCGGAGUCCAAGUCCAACUUGAAGGAGGCCACGGCCCGCAGAGGGUGACAGGCCCGUAGAGGCUCCGGGGCGCGCGGUGUGGGCGUCUCCUUAGAGUCGGGUUGCUUGAGAGUGCAGCCCUAAGUGGGUGGUAAAUUCCAUCUAAGGCUAAAUAUGACCACGAGACCGAUAGCGAACAAGUACCGUGAGGGAAAGUUGAAAAGAACUUUCAAGAGAGAGUUCAAG